RNAcentral lists this long non-coding RNA (501 nucleotides) under Homo sapiens (human). Its description in RNAcentral is "non-protein coding lnc-QRFP-7:1". The record is from RNAcentral. Lineage: Eukaryota; Metazoa; Chordata; Mammalia; Primates; Hominidae.
GAGCUGCCAUGUCUACUAUUGGCAAGGAAGCACCCGUGGAAUAAUAAAAUCUCACGUUGUGUGGCGUGUGACUUUUUACCAAAACUGUCUUGUACUCAUCAUCCCAUUUAUUGUUUACCAGGGUUAGAGAUAAUUGAGAAACGGACCUCUGAGUUUCUGUCCAAUUCUAAGCUGCUGAAAUCCGAUAUUUUGUAAGAGAGAGCUCAGGAGGAUGGAGAGAUGGGAUCUACAGAAAACACUAUUUGAACAGAAAGAAGAGCCCCUUUCCACACGGUUCCCAGUAGCGCCAGGAUUCUACAUUGCGGCCGCCCCGUGGGUGCUGGCUCAACAUCAUCAUCUAUAACCCCAAACCGGGCUCCAGAUACUUCUCACUUGGUUCUGUCCUUUCAUAAGGACUCCUUUGAACAAGCUAAUUUACUCCAAUAUUUCUUUUGGAAACAAGUUAAAAAUCGUCUAAGAAAACAGGUCAAACCUUGCAAGCCAGGUAUAUUUGGUAGGGAA